This 215-nucleotide long non-coding RNA is filed under the name Anser brachyrhynchus (Pink-footed goose). Its description in RNAcentral is "lncRNA (ENSABRG00000011902.1)". The record is from RNAcentral. Lineage: Eukaryota; Metazoa; Chordata; Aves; Anseriformes; Anatidae.
UGGCAAUAGGAUCUGGGAUGGAGCAGGGCCAGCCUUCAACCCUACUCCUUCCUCCUUGGGUGCUGGGAAGUACCUUGAUCUGCUUCAGCUCUGAGCUUUCUCCUGAGCUUUCCCUGCUGCGCUUUCCUUGCAAAAAGGGCUGAGCUGGCAGUGGCUCUGCCCAUCCUCUUCUGAGGCCCCUAAUUUGAGGAGUUGAACCAAGUGCCGCAUCUGAA